CACCUGCAGCCAUUUCUUUCUGAUGCAGGACUCCAUGUUGGUUUGCCUAAUUAAUCAACAAUCAACAGAUCCUUCUAGAAAAGAAAGAGAAAAGAGACUGAACUUCCUUCGGUGAGACAGUCAUGAAAUAGUCUUCACUCCAUUUUCCCAGCCAAGAGAUGGAAAGAAGAUGUAAAAAGGUUGGCCACCUUUCCUCAUCCCUCAGCUCUGACUUGAUUUGUCUGCAGGACUCAGACACGGUAGGGGAGCCUACGGUAGUAAAUUCCCCCACGGAAUCCUGCCGUAUAUGGGGACUUUCUUUUCUUGCCCAUAAAAGGUAUGGAAAGCUCCCGUCAGUUUUAGCGGUUAUUGUACUGUCUCAGCGCCAGCCCCUCACUCAUGCACUGUGACAGAAAACAGUAAGAGAGGCACCAGGAAGAGAAAAUGUGUCAAAUUCCCCCAGCCUCCUAGAGAAGGAAGACUGUCACUAUUGAUAAUAGCAUGUUUUACAAUGUGAUUCAUUUGGGAAAAGUUUAAAAUGAAAAAACUCUGUGUCAGGACUAGGAAUACAAUGAUGCACACACUCCCAGCCUUCGUGGAGCUCACAGUUGGCUGAUGGAGAACAACAUUAAACAAGCAAUAACAGUAAAGUAAGGUCAGGAAAGAGCAGGAAAACACCCCCGAUGGUCCUGGCUCUCCUGCGGCAGUGAAGCGGGUAGGUGACAGGGGUGCCUUGAGGACUUUGUCAAUCCUCGUUUCUGCCAAAGCCCAGAUACCUCCAAGCCGCUGCUGGAGACAGAAUAGCAACACAUCUUGCUUCCGACUGCCUUCCAGCUCCAAAUCUUAAAAGACUCACAAUAUUGGCCUGUUCAGUGAUGUUGAGGGAAGACUGGCCAUAAAAAUUCAGAUCAUGUAAGCACUCACAUAUUUAAAAAGUACUUAUUGAACACCUAUCAUAUUUCAGACAUGCUAGAAGCGAGGAUUAAAAAAAAAAAACAAAUAAGAUUGGGCUCUUUUCUCAGAGAGUAAGCAUUGUCCAGUGUCUAAAUUCCCAGGGUCAGGUUAACUUUUUACAAGCAGUUAAUCUUGGGUAAAUUACUCACUUACGCUCUUUGAGCUUCAAUUAUCUCAUUCGUAAAAUGGAUAUAAUAAUAGAAUGUUCUAAUGGAUUUUGCAUGAUUAAGAUGCUUUGGGUUAUAAAUAAUUCAAUUUAAACAAUAAGGGAAAUAUAUCCCUUCACAUAAAAAGACGUCCUCAUACCCCUGGGUUGGUUAUCUCAGUAAUCAAUGACACGAUCAAAGACUCAAUUACCUUCCAUUUCUUGCUUCUGACAUUUUCUUUAUGUCUCCUUGUUCUCAGGCUAAUUCCUCUCUUAACUGCAAAAUGGUUGCCAAAGCUUCUGGCAUCCAGAAACUAUUGAGAAACACCUCCUCUUUCCUCCACUCAUUAGACUUCUCUUCCUAUCUCAUUGGCCAGAGUUUUAUUACAUGUCCAUGCUCAAACGAAUCGCUCGAAGAGAAAAGGGAUCAUAGUAAUUGGUUUAGACCAGUUGGGAUACAGCUUUCCUUGAGUUACUAGGUGGAAGAGUAGAGACCCAAACAAAAUUAGGGGUCUGCCAGCCAUGAAGGAAGGAAUGGUUGUUUGGUAGGCAAUGGGAGAAUCUCCUACAGGGCUCUCGUAAACCUGUAAUGAGAUGAUUUGUGCAAAGCUCUUGGAAUGGUACUGGGUGCAUAGUAAGCACUCCAAUCAAAGUUAGCUAGAAAUAUUUAUCAUGUACUUUACAAUUAAGUUAUAAAUCUAGGCAAGUCUUAAAAAAAAGUCAUAUUUUUCUUAUGGUGUCCAGUGUUAGACAAGGUAACCAUAGGAGCACAAGGGAGCCCCUAACCUGGUUUGGAGAGAGGCAUUGAAGGGUGAGGAGGGGUGGGAGAGUCCAUCAGGAAAGGCAGAAAGAGAUGGCCUUGAGUUGAAUCUUGAAAGACAUAUAGGAGUGAGCAGACUUAAAAAUGAAAAAAGAUGGAGUGGGCCUGGGGCAUGGGGCUAGAGACUUACCGGUCCUCCAUGCACUGGAAAGCGUCUGGGGAGGAGGAGAAGGGACUGGAAAGGAGGAGGCUGAGAAAACCUUUGCGACUAGGUGUGCCCAGAGUGCAGGGUGAUGUCAAAAUGUUAAAUGUCUUAAACAAACUGAUCUCGAGCACAUGUCAAAGUUUAUUAUCUUGCUAGCAAAGAAACCAGAAAGCUGAAAAAAGAGUGUGCUGGUUCAGAGAGGAGUUAUAUAGCCGGGGGAAAAAAAUCUUACAUAAGUUGCCAGUUUUUAAAAUGAGAAAGAUUGCAAGGUCAUUUCACAAGAUCAUAACAAUAUCAAGUGCAUAUUGGUUGUACCAAAGGGCAGUUGCAACAAAACAAUCUUAAGAUGUCAGGUAUGAUGACCGGCAGUCAAAAGAGAGAGAGAAAAAAAGACCUGGCACAUUUAAGAAGCAAAUGGUAAGUGUUCAUUUCUUUCUGCAUUUGGAAUAGUCAGCUUACAUCCCCAGCAUUAGCGUCUGAUGGGGCCAACCAACAGGUAAGCAGGAAACAGAAUCAGCUAUUCAGGGCCGUGAGCAGAAGCAUGGUGCGAAGGGAAGGUCAAAGUGGGACUUCAAGUUCUUAUUUUAAACAGUCAUCCCUGAUGACUUCAUUUGAGCUACAAAGAUGCAAAAACAGCUUGCCCACUGCUUAGUUUUGGAUAACACUUUUUCCCACUGGAAAUGAAAAGCGGUCUACUGCAAUGCUGGGAGAGCAGGCUCACUCUCUGGGAUCUGGUCCCCUUCUCCAGGGCCUGGGAAGACCUAUCAUAACACCCAGAAGGAAGACAAACUGAGACAAACAUGCCCAGUGGUGCAGUUCCUGUGUGCUUUUAAACACCUGCAUGAAGAAAUCUUGCGUGCUGUCUUCACUAGGAACCUGAAAUGACAGUUCUAUCUUAAAUGACCAGUUUUGUCAAGUCUAGACCAGGACUGUGGCCGGCCCCAUCCAGGAUCAGAGACUGCGGAUUCCUCACUAAUUUCCUGCAGUCCAGCCCCAUCCAAGGGCAGCAGGAACCAGAAAGCACCAGGAUGUGACAGCAUCUACCUGAGGUUCGGUUUGCUCCGGGCCAGAAAGGGCAGCUCCUUCUGAACGCUCUCCAAGGAGGCAUGACUUGCCAAGACAGAGUGUUCCAAUUCUGCUACACCCAGAAGACAUAAAACAACCAGUAUGUUUGAGGGAAGCAGCAAUCGAGGGUGGGAAAGUAAAUAAUUUUAUACUCCCUUGAUUGGGUGGAAGUUGAGAAAGAGGUGAGAAUGCCUGCCAGGCCUUCCGUGGAGCUGUGGGCCUCGGCCAGCCCUCUGUCCUCACCUCCACUGUGGGCCGGGCUUCAUCCCUCACAUUCUGGCACACAGUCAGCUGCCCCCCCAGGCUUCUGGAGGGCACCGUCCUCUGUGUAAAAGGCCUGCUGUGGUGCUGACCAGGGACUCGGACAAAGCCUGGGGAAGAACUCUUCCCUCUCAUCAUCCUACCCCCACCCCUUAAACCUGUAUCUUUUGACCAAAAGGUCAGAGUGAAAAUAAAGGUCAGAGUGAAAAUAAAGGUCAGAAGAAAGUAAACUGUGUGGCUGAGGAGUUAUUCCUGUCCUCUCCUGCCAUCCCUUUCUUACAUCUCACCCUUGGGCAGCAGCAUUCUCUUCCGGCAGCCCACACCUAGCAUGUUGUUUCUCUCCUCUGGGCCUCUGUCCGCGCUGAGUCCCUUCAGCCUGCGACAUUCUGUUGAACUGUUAUGAAAGCUAGAACAGGUGCUGCUCCCAGGCGCCAUAGCAUCCUGAGUUCCCUUCACAUGAAACACUUACCACUCUGUGCAGAAGGCACUGAUUAUCUGUCUCCUCCACCAUCCUGUGGUUUCUCAAGGGCAGGGACUGAGUCCUCCGCGUGCUUGUACUCCAGUACCCAGCAUAGUACCUGCACAGAGUAGGCCCUCAAAAACACUCUCCUUAGAGUAACUGGACAUCAGAGGAGGGAGCUGACUCAAGCUGCCAGGGUUGCCCCUAGGGCCCAGGCCCUGCCCACCUGGCUCCCCCUUCAUGCCUAGAGCUGGGCGGAGCAGAUCAGGGAGGAACCGGAGCCAAGUUCAGAAGGGCAGGCCUUUCCCUCCCCCUCAGCUGCUGAAUAGCAACGUAAAAAGAUUCUCUCUUUACACAAGUGCCGACUACAAAUGCUGGGCAAAGCUCUGCAUUCCUCCUAUUGUUGGGAUUUUCCUGUUUCUGCCCCUGAAGAUGCCACUUGGGAGAAGUAGGGCUCUUGAGCAGACGAAGUCCUGAACACAAAGGACUCCUUCCAGCCUUGGCUGCGGCUCUGCUCUGGGCGAUGUAUUUAUCUGAACUUCUUUAGCAAAUUACACCUUCCAG
Equus asinus (donkey) is the source of this 4393-nucleotide long non-coding RNA. NCBI's taxonomy places the organism in Eukaryota, Metazoa, Chordata, Mammalia, Perissodactyla, Equidae. The record is from Ensembl.